Molecule: long non-coding RNA, 269 nt
Organism: Anolis carolinensis (green anole)
Lineage: Eukaryota; Metazoa; Chordata; Lepidosauria; Squamata; Anolidae
Exons: 2
Source: RefSeq, a predicted model, not a curated record
GCAAAUGUUUUUAAAAUCCUAGGAAAACUACAGGAAUAAAAUAAAGUUGAUGAGACUUUCUUCAUAAGAUUCUUCAUGUUGAUUUUAGAUGAUGGGAAAAGGGUGGAAAAAGAAAACAUUUUCCCAAGAAGACUUGCUAGAAUUACUUGAAAAGAAGCUGGGCUGGCCCACUUUGUGGCAGAAAAUCGGAAUAAGCAAUUUUAUCGGCAAAAAAAUAAACUAUCCAGUGGGAAAUGUUCCAGUAGAGGCAACAAUGAAACAAACAAACU